AGCUCAUAUUCACUACUUUCAAGCAUAUAUACACACACUCAAACACACAAAAAGAAAUUUUGCUUGAUGGAGAACGGUAAAGGAAGGCGUGAAUCUGCAGAAGGAGAUUCCAGUAGUGGAAAAUGGGCCGGUUCCUCUAAGAAAAGUGGAAGCGUGAUUCCGAAAGAUAGGGAGCCUGUAUCCCACAUGGUGGGAAAGACAAUUGCGAAAGUUGUUAUUUCCGGUGCUCAAAAGAUCAAAAACAAGAAUAAGAUCAAUCCUGAUGGUGGUGCAAAUGCUUGAUAGCGUUACAAAG
RNAcentral lists this long non-coding RNA (295 nucleotides) under Coffea arabica (coffee). RNAcentral describes it as "long non-coding RNA (CARA_LNC007252)". Lineage: Eukaryota; Viridiplantae; Streptophyta; Magnoliopsida; Gentianales; Rubiaceae. The record is from RNAcentral.